GGACUACAAGGGUAUCUAAUCCUGUUUGAUCCCCACGCUUUCGUGCCUCAGUGUCAAUAGUAGUGUAGCAAGCUGCCUUCGCAAUUGGUGUUCUGCGUCAUAUCUAAGCAUUUCACCGCUACAUGACGCAUUCCGCCUACCUCCACUACAUUCAAGAUUGAUAGUAUCAAUGGCAGUUCCUUCGUUAAGCGAAAGUAUUUCACCACUGACUUACCAAUCCACCUACGCACCCUUUAAACCCAGUAAAUCCGGAUAACGCUUGCACCCUCCGUAUUACCGCGGCGGCUGGCAC
RNAcentral lists this ribosomal RNA (292 nucleotides) under uncultured bacterium. RNAcentral describes it as "partial 16S ribosomal RNA". RNAcentral also lists the same sequence under 1 other name. The record is from RNAcentral.